GCCUCUGGAUCUUGGUAAAGAGGAAGCUGGCUUAUACAAACUGUCUUGGGUGCCUUCUUCCCAUUCUCCCUCUCCUGGUUCUCCUUUUACUUCUGUGUGUGCUUUGUAUGAUUUUUGUAAUGAUGACAAUGUGUCUGACAGCAAAAAUGUUGGCUUGCCUCCAAUUGUAUAUAAUUCCAUUUGUAAUAAUGCUGUUACCACUGAUAUGAAUUACAUUUGGCAUUUAAGACUAG
Molecule: long non-coding RNA, 233 nt
Filed under: Nicotiana benthamiana
Lineage: Eukaryota; Viridiplantae; Streptophyta; Magnoliopsida; Solanales; Solanaceae
Description: long non-coding RNA (NBEN_LNC000940)
Source: RNAcentral